CGUUGUAUCUGGUCGUCGAAAGUGGGCGUCCGUACGGGCUCGCUAGUCUGGUACAUCCCAGGCAACACUGUCAAAUUGCGGGGACUCCUAAAGGCCGAUGCCACUCCCUCCUGCUGGAAACGGCAGGAGGUCGUAAAAGUGCACGGCAUGAUCGGGCUUCCACGGCCCGUGAAGUGGACGAUCCGCAGCCAAGUCCUACGGCCUCGCUAUCGCGGCUACGGAUGCAGCUCACAGACUAGAUGUCAGUGGGGGAGGCCCGAGAACCGGGCCACCUUAAGAUAUAGUCGGGCGCCAGCUGAGAGGCUGGCGGUAGUGCAGAUACCGUCGUAGUCUUAACCAUAAACUAUGCCGACUAGGGAUCGGGCGAUGUUAUCUUUUUGACUCGCUCGGCACCUUACGAGAAAUCAAAGUCUUUGGGUUCUGGGGGGGGUAUGGUCGCAAGGCUGAAACUUAAAGAAAUUGACGGAAGGGCACCACCAGGAGUGGAGCCUGCGGCUUAAUUUGACUCAACACGG
RNAcentral lists this ribosomal RNA (515 nucleotides) under uncultured fungus. RNAcentral's name for it is "partial 18S ribosomal RNA". It matches the Rfam family "Eukaryotic small subunit ribosomal RNA", at positions 636 to 1208 of the family's 1831-position model. The record is from RNAcentral. Lineage: Eukaryota; Fungi.